Molecule: ribosomal RNA, 460 nt
Filed under: uncultured bacterium
Lineage: Bacteria
Description: partial 16S ribosomal RNA
Rfam family: Bacterial small subunit ribosomal RNA
Source: RNAcentral
CCUACGGGUGGCAGCAGUGAGGAAUAUUGGUCAAUGGACGAGAGUCUGAACCAGCCAAGUAGCGUGAAGGAUGACUGCCCUCUGGGUUGUAAACUUCUUUUAUAAAGGAAUAAAACGAGGCACGUGUGCCUUUUUGCAUGUACUUUAUGAAUAAGGAUCGGCUAACUCGGUGCCAGCAGCCGCGGUAAUACGGAGGAUCCGAGCGUUAUCCGGAUGUUUGGGGUUUAAAGGGAGCGUAGAUGGGUUGUUAAGACAGUAGUGAAAGUUUGGGGCUCAACCGUAAGAUUGCAAUUGAUACUGGCAGUCUUGAGUACAGGUGAGGUAAGCGGAAUUCGUGGUGUAGCGGUGAAAUGCUGAGAUAUCACGAAGAACCCCGAUUGCGAAGGCAGCUUACUAAACUGUGACUGACAUUGAGGCUCGAAAGUGUGGGUAUCAAACAGGAUUAGAUACCCGUGUAGUC